UUUACAUAAUGAUGGCAGAGUUGCAACGGUUCCGUGUGAAUUCCCUGCUACUUGAAACCAAAGAAGAUGGCCGCUGCUGCUGGAGAACAGCGGCCUUUUGAAUCGGCUUUAGCCCGCGGCUCUGGAAGACUUGGAG
This is a long non-coding RNA of Etheostoma spectabile (orangethroat darter), 136 nucleotides long. RefSeq lists it as uncharacterized. Lineage: Eukaryota; Metazoa; Chordata; Actinopteri; Perciformes; Percidae. The record is from RefSeq and is a predicted model, not a curated record. The transcript has 3 exons.